RNAcentral lists this transfer RNA (73 nucleotides) under Stegodyphus mimosarum. It matches the Rfam family "tRNA". Rfam says of the family: Transfer RNA (tRNA) molecules are approximately 80 nucleotides in length. Their secondary structure includes four short double-helical elements and three loops (D, anti-codon, and T loops). The record is from Rfam by way of RNAcentral. Lineage: Eukaryota; Metazoa; Arthropoda; Arachnida; Araneae; Eresidae.
GCCUUCGUGAUGUAUGGGUCAGCACGCUAGACGCGUAUUCCAGCGAUCCGUGGUUCGAGUCCCGGCGAAGGCG